GUUCGUGUCUCGUGCACCCUCACUGAUUCAUCUACCACCGUGGGCAUGCCCCUAGAUGGAUUGCCGAUCAUAUUUCGUGGACACCCUCAUGGCAUAGUGGAGGCUUUUUUUGUUUUUUUGCUAGAAAGACCGUAAAUGGAAAUUAGAAGCCCGCGUAUAUAUCUGGUGGGCUGGCUCUAGAGUAGAGGCUACACAAUAUUGAGAGAAGGAGGGAAAGCUGAUGGGAGUGAAGGAGGAGCAGCAGAAGCCGCUUUCGGCGAAAUCCGCUCCAAUCAAUCAGUGCCGCAUGAUGGAAGAUCCAACAACUAUGAGAUUUUGGAGCGAUGUGGACCAUGCUUCUCCUACUAGAAUCGUGCGAGUUUUGUAGGGGAAAGAAAGAAAUAUGUAUCCAGCAUCAUUGGUACUGAACUUGGUCAAUCAAUAGCAAAUGCACAAAAUUAUGGUC
RNAcentral lists this long non-coding RNA (445 nucleotides) under Sorghum bicolor (sorghum). RNAcentral describes it as "long non-coding RNA (SBIC_LNC013173)". Lineage: Eukaryota; Viridiplantae; Streptophyta; Magnoliopsida; Poales; Poaceae. The record is from RNAcentral.